CAGGAUAAUUAUAUCCUAGAUUAUUGUUUGGUUCUUCAACAGUCAUGGUUUAGGUACACUGCUUCUUCUUUAUUAAAUGAAACGCAGACUGUCAGUUCCUUGUUUUUAGAGUUGUAGUUGGUAUACUGAUAGGGAGUACAAUUAUAAGAGAAAUGAACAAUAAUGGGGAAAAAAUUCACAUUCAUUACAAAAAAAAAGUAUUUUUAAACAAAAUACCAAAAGGUAUAUGAAAACAAACUUGGGUUUGACAUCGUGAACUUUGCAAAUGGAACAUUCCAGGGAAUCAUCUUAAAAAUUAAAGUAAAGAAAUAUAUACUGUUUAAAUCCUUGAAAAAUCAUCAAAAUAUGAAAAAAUCAAAAUGUGAUACAAAAAAAACCCAAUAAAGUCUGCAAAAAAAAAAAAGAAAAGGAAGCUGACAGUUAAGUUAUGUUUGUUUUUAGAUGGACGAAAAGGAGGGAG
RNAcentral lists this long non-coding RNA (460 nucleotides) under Mytilus galloprovincialis (Mediterranean mussel). The record is from RNAcentral. Lineage: Eukaryota; Metazoa; Mollusca; Bivalvia; Mytilida; Mytilidae.